ACCGUGGAUGCGUCAGCAGCGGCGAGUGAGCGGCAACAGCUCAAUUUGAAAGCCCGCGGGCGUUGUAAUUUGCAGGCGGAUGUUUUGGGGCGGGCGCUGUCUACGUUCCUUGGAACAGGACGCCGCAGAGGGUGAGAGCCCCGUGCGAUGGCGCCUCCAACCGCGUAAAACUCCGCCGACGAGUCGAGUUGUUUGGGAAUGCAGCUCCAAGUGGGUGGUAAAUUCCAUCUAAAGCUAAAUACUGGCGAGAGACCGAUAGCGAACAAGUACAGUGAUGGAAAGAUGAAAAGCACUUUGAAAAGAGAGUGAAACAGCACGUGAAAUUGUUGAAAGGGAAGGGUAUGCGAUUAGCGGCCAGCAGGAGGUGCCUUCUCGUGAAAAGGCCGUGCACCGUCUUCGGACACCGUGCGCGGAGAUGGCGAGGGGGCGCCUGAGGUCUGCGACUCGAGGUUGCUGGCGUAAUGAUUGCAUACCACCCGUCUUGAAACAACGGACCCAA
Molecule: ribosomal RNA, 499 nt
Filed under: [Candida] sp. AA-M28
Lineage: Eukaryota; Fungi; Ascomycota; Saccharomycetes; Saccharomycetales
Description: eukaryotic LSU rRNA
Rfam family: Eukaryotic large subunit ribosomal RNA
Source: RNAcentral